This 251-nucleotide long non-coding RNA is filed under the name Anser brachyrhynchus (Pink-footed goose). RNAcentral describes it as "lncRNA (ENSABRG00000003256.1)". The record is from RNAcentral. Lineage: Eukaryota; Metazoa; Chordata; Aves; Anseriformes; Anatidae.
GGCUCCUUUUCUCAAAGGGUGCUGUGAUCUCACUGGUCAUGUGAGCAUGCAUGCACUUAUCAAGCAAGACCAAUUCUGAAGUAAAAGCAGGUUGCUGAGAGAAAAGCAGAGAUGUUCCCAGGAACUUGUUACGCCUACGGUGAGUCAGAGACCUGAGGAGUGAUGGACGGAUACUGCAUUUUUGGAUUUGUGUAGGAUCUGAUGCCAUUUUUCCCCAGUUAAAUCACAAUUGUUUACAGACUGGUCUAAUU